Molecule: long non-coding RNA, 539 nt
Organism: Chelonia mydas (Green sea turtle)
Lineage: Eukaryota; Metazoa; Chordata; Testudines; Cheloniidae
Exons: 3
Source: RefSeq, a predicted model, not a curated record
GAGGAAUAAGGGGAGUUCCCUCUCUCUGGGAAGGGCCUGAUGAAGACUGGCUGGAGAGAACCAUGGAGAGCAUGUUGGGCUUUGGUGGGAAGGUCCUGAGAUAAGACGUAAUGUCGAGGUCCAGACCAGGUUCUGCGGAGAAGACAGCCCUUCACGUUCCUCUGUGUGGCCCAGAGAGAUUUCCCCCACCAAAUGCAGUAUGUAUCUCAAGGGAAGUAUCGCUUCUCUUGAUGAAUGGGAGCUGGAGCUCCCUGGUGAGCAGCAUCCAGGAUUACAGCUGGAAUGUGGUUCCCUUCAUCAUUUAGAAGAGUACAGCUGUUUGACAGUGUUCAGGGCAGUGUAUGUAUACAUGGUUAAACUUAGUUGCAUUAAGGACUCCUUCAUUUCAUUGAUGGGAAACUCAUUGUACACCUUGAGAAGGGGAAAGGUGUAACACAGGAAUAAAUCUGGGACAAAGCGAGGAGGAAAAAGGAAGAGAAGGAAAAAAGAGACCAAAGAAACAGAGGGGAGGAAGAAAGGCUGGGACUAAACAAAAUCAG